UACGUAGGGGGCAAGCGUUGUCCGGAUUCAUUGGGCGUAAAGAGCACGCAGGCGGUUUGGCAAGUCGGACGUGAAAAUCCGGGGCUCAACCCCGGACCUGCAUCCGAAACUGCCCGACUAGAGGUAGGUAGGGGAGAUCGGAAUUCCUGGUGUAGCGGUGAAAUGCGCAGAUAUCAGGAGGAACACCGGUGGCGAAGGCGGAUCUCUGGGCCGAUACUGACGCUGAGGAGCGAAAGCGUGGGGAGCGAACAGG
This 253-nucleotide ribosomal RNA is filed under the name uncultured bacterium. RNAcentral's name for it is "partial 16S ribosomal RNA". It matches the Rfam family "Bacterial small subunit ribosomal RNA", at positions 524 to 776 of the family's 1533-position model. The record is from RNAcentral.